RNAcentral lists this ribosomal RNA (253 nucleotides) under uncultured bacterium. RNAcentral's name for it is "partial 16S ribosomal RNA". It matches the Rfam family "Bacterial small subunit ribosomal RNA", at positions 524 to 776 of the family's 1533-position model. The record is from RNAcentral.
UACGUAGGGUGCGAGCGUUAAUCGGAAUUACUGGGCGUAAAGCGUGCGCAGGCGGUUCGCUAAGACAGGUGUGAAAUCCCCGGGCUUAACCUGGGAAUGGCGCUUGUGACUGGCGGGCUGGAGUACGGCAGAGGGAGGUGGAAUUCCACGUGUAGCAGUGAAAUUCGUAGAGAUGUGGAGGAACACCGAUGGCGAAGGCAGCCUCCUGGGCCAGUACUGACGCUCAUGCACGAAAGCGUGGGGAGCAAACAGG